Molecule: small nucleolar RNA, 73 nt
Organism: Bombina bombina (fire-bellied toad)
Lineage: Eukaryota; Metazoa; Chordata; Amphibia; Anura; Bombinatoridae
Product: small nucleolar RNA SNORD99
Exons: 1
Source: RefSeq, a predicted model, not a curated record
ACUGGACAAUGAUGAACCUUUUUUAUCUGGAGACUGUUGAAUGAAUCUUGCGGAUAUGGGACUGAGUCCAGAC